CUGAGUGGCCAAUCCGGAGGGCCUGCUUAAGUGGGCACAAGUGCGUCCAAAUAGGUUGGAAAAAAUGUCAAAUCAGAGUAGGCACAUACAAGAUGUGAUGUUUCUCUUUUUAUAGACUGCUAUAUGAGAUGCUCUUUUCUGAAGCCAGUGGAUUGGGCAUCUCUGAUUUCUUGUUCACCUAGAGGACUUUGUUUUCAGGGCAGGAUAAAUGCUUGUUUAUUCUCAUGCAUGCAUGCUCUCCCUCCCUCUCUCAUUGAGCGUGAUGUUUUCGUGGCCCCUUGGUGCUUGAGACCUGGCUCAUAGGAAGCUGAACUCAGAAUCAAAACUUCUCCUGAGGUGCCACCUAGCAUCACUAACCCCAGAGAUGACCGGGGUAGCCCUGUUAACACUACACAAAUAAAAUAUGUCACCAGAACAUUUCACUGAGAUGAGGAAUUUAUUUCCAUGAUUCUCUAAGGUUCAACUAUAGUACAUGCUGCUUUUUCCUACUGGGCAGCAAACAUGUUUUACUAAACUC
RNAcentral lists this long non-coding RNA (517 nucleotides) under Pan troglodytes (chimpanzee). RNAcentral's name for it is "long non-coding RNA NONPTRT014470". The record is from RNAcentral. Lineage: Eukaryota; Metazoa; Chordata; Mammalia; Primates; Hominidae.